Long non-coding RNA from Gorilla gorilla gorilla (western lowland gorilla), 553 nucleotides. RefSeq lists it as uncharacterized. The record is from RefSeq and is a predicted model, not a curated record. The transcript is spliced from 2 exons. NCBI's taxonomy places the organism in Eukaryota, Metazoa, Chordata, Mammalia, Primates, Hominidae.
UUUAAAAUUUUUUGUAGAGACAGGAUCUUGCCAUGUUGCCCAGGCUGGUUUUGAACUCCUGGCCUCAAAUGAUUCUCCCACUUAGGCUUCCCAAAGUGUUGGGAUUACAGGUGUGAUCCACCACACCCAGCUGUCUAUGUCUUAUGACUGCAUAAACCAGAAAAAAAUGGUUGGGGGGUGGGGGACGCGGUUCAGGCACAACAAUACCAGGAGAGACUAGCAGACCAUGUGAAUAGGAAAGACAUUUGGAGGAGCAGUUUAUUGAUGGAAGAUUAUGUAUCAUUCUAUCCAUGUGAUCUAUUGCAUCUACCAUUUAAUACAUCUGGCUAUCAUGCUACGGAAACCAUAUGAAGAACCAUGUGGAGAAAAGAGGCACUGAGAUUACGGGGAGAGCAUGAAGAGGGAGAGAGCCAGCCAUCCCACAAUCCCAGCUGAACUUCCAGAUGGUUCCAGCUCCAGUCAAUAUCUGACUGCAAUUUCAAGAGAGACUCCAAGCAAGAUCAGAUGAGCCCAGAACUGUGAGAGAUAAUAAAAUGGUUGCUGUUUUAGGUUA